Non-coding RNA from Elgaria multicarinata webbii, 480 nucleotides. The record is from the annotation of a RefSeq genome assembly. NCBI's taxonomy places the organism in Eukaryota, Metazoa, Chordata, Lepidosauria, Squamata, Anguidae.
ACUUGUGUCCAGUCAAGCCCUCUCAAAGCAUCAAUGGGAAACAUGAUACUUUGGAUUCAACCUGUUUUAUUGUUAGCAGUCUUCAGAGGUGUACAAUCUGAGAUCCAGCUGGUGGAGUCUGGAGGGGAUGUUGAAAGGCCUGGACAGUCCCUCCGCCUCUCCUGCCAUACCUUCGGGUUUUCCUUCAGCAGGUAUCCAAUGAGCUGGAUUCGACAGGCUCCUGGAAAGGGUUUAGAAUGGGUGGCCUAUAUAAGUACAGCUUCAACUCCCAUUUACUAUUCGGAUUCGGUGAAAGGGCGCUUCACAAUCUCCAGAGAUGAUUCACGCAGCCUGAUGCAUUUACAAAUGAACAGCUUGAAACAGGAGGAUACGGCUCUCUAUUACUGUGCGAGGCGCACAGUGAAGGGAAGCGAUUCGGAGGUUAAGCAAAAACCUCCUGCUGCAGCCUUUUGGAAUGUGGUACCUGUGGUGGCUUACUGA